This 274-nucleotide ribosomal RNA is filed under the name uncultured bacterium. RNAcentral describes it as "partial 16S ribosomal RNA". It matches the Rfam family "Bacterial small subunit ribosomal RNA", at positions 523 to 796 of the family's 1533-position model. The record is from RNAcentral.
AUACGGAGGGUGCAAGCGUUAUUCGGAAUCACUGGGCGUAAAGGGUGCGUAGGCGGUUUGAUAAAUCUGAUGUGAAAUCCUAUGGCUCAACCAUAGAACUGCAUUGGAAACAGUCAGACUAGAAUACUGAAGGGGCAGAUGGAAUUAGUGGUGUAGGGGUAAAAUCCGUAGAUAUCACUAGGAAUACCGAAAGCGAAGGCGAUCUGCUGGGAAGUUAUUGACGCUGAGGCACGAAAGCGUGGGGAGCAAACGGGAUUAGAAACCCUAGUAGUCC